CCUUUUUUUUUUCAUUGAGAUCUGAAAAUUUGUGAGACCCGCCACUUAGCUUUUUUUUUCAUUCCUGAGAUAUGAAAAGAUGUGAGACCGAGAGACCCAUUUCCUCAAUUCCAGUGAGACCGCGAGACCCAUUUCCUCGUGAGACCGAGAGACCCAUUUCCUCAAUUCUAGUGAGACCGAGAGACCCUGAAAAUAUGUGAGACUGAGAGACCCAUUUCCAUUUCCUCAACCAUCUCCAGUUCACUCAACCCAAAACUCUGAGGCGCUGAUCUUCUAUCUCCGGCAAGCUCCAAAAUCUAAGGUUCUGCCCUCCUCCAUUCAUCUAUUUAUCUUCCCUUUUCUUGCUAAAGCCAAAUGCAUUUCGUCACUUUCAUUCCUCUGCCUCUCUCUCCCUCCUCGACGAAGCCCUAAUGCUCUCAGUAAGGUAUUGAUACUAGCCUUGUUUUUUGAAUUCAGAGUCAUUGGCACUGCAUGAAAGAACACGGAAGACUAGGGCCCGUGAGGCUGAAAUUUCUUUACAGGGGAAAUUGGUAGAUCCCCAGCGCAAAAAGAGCAAAGCAAGUUUACGGUAGCUUGAUGAGUAGCCUGAAUGGUUGAGGGGAGGAAAGCUGUGUGAUUAUCAGCUUGAGGGUCUGAUACUAAUGUUAUUUUAGCUGAUGAGAUGGGUCUUGGUAAAACUGUUUAGUCAGUAUCCAUGCUUGGGUUUUUACAGAAUGCUCAACAUAUCCAUGGGCCAUUUCAUGUUGUUGUACCAUUAUCCACAUUGUCAAACUAGGCAAAAGAAUUUAGGAAGUGGCUACCUGAGAUGAAUAUUAUUGUAUAUGUUGGUACUCGUGCAAGUCGAGAGGCCUCUACAAGGGAGCUUUAUGAUAGGGUGUGUAGCCUUCGUAGAGUAGAAAAAGAAAAGGUACUUAUUUGGGACUAUUUCAAUAAAUGGCGAACUCAAGGCUGAGUAACUCAAACCAAACUUUGGAGGAGGCAAACUUGCAGAUGGAUCAAGAAGCUGUAAAUUGAUUUUAAAACUCAGGGGUUUACGUGCCAUUGGGAAUGGAUGUAAGAAGCUAAAAGAUCUCACUCUAAGUGACUGCUAUUUCCUAAGUGACAAGGGUUUGGAAGCUAUUGCCACUGGUUGCAAGCAACUUACUCAUCUUACAGUAAUGGGUGCCACAAUAUUGGUACUCUGGGACUUGAAUUCAUUGGGGAAUCUUGCUUAUGUUGUGCUUAUCUGAGAUCACAGAGAAAGUGAAUGACAGGUGGGAUCGUCAUCUUACAGAACAAGGAUCUUAAAAAAACAGAGUAUUUGUAGCCUCUUAUAACCCAGUAUUUCUAUUGAAAUUACUUCAAUCUUUUAAAUUUCUCUAAUCGUCAUAUUUCUCUAGACUGAUGCAGCAAAAUGAAAAAAUAUAUUCUCAUUAUAUAGUGUAGAGCAAAAUAUAUAUAUAUAUAUACUACUAGUGAUAGUGAAAAUGAAAAUGAAAAAAUAUAUUCUCAUUGAAGAUCACUUCUGUUUUUUUUGGGCCCAUUUUACUCUUAGUUGUUGCCUUUUAUUGUUCAUUUUGCAUCUAAUUUUGUUAUCUAUUUUCUGUAUAUUGCUUCAAAGUUCCUUAUGUGUUUGCUACUAGUCUUCAUGUCUAAAUUUUAUUAAGUCAUUUCUCUUGUACAUUUGUUUCUGUGUAUAAAAUAAAAUCUAUAGUUCUUGCUAGUUCUAGAGCCAAAGUUCUGUGUAAUCUAUAGUUCUUGCUAGUUCUAGAGCCAGAGUUCCCAGAUUGCUUCGAGUGUUACCGUUAACUUCAGAAUUAAAUCGAACAGCUGGUGUAUUUGCUUAAACUGCUUGGGCAGGUUCUGCAUACUAUCUGCUAUUGUACAUGCUAGCAGUCAUGUGAGUACCCAUUUAGUUUUGUAGUAACAUAUUCUUGAGAAAUUUCUCUUGCCAAAUUCCUAUUUAAAUAAAAAUAAACCAUUAUGAUUGAUAAUAUGAAAUGAUUGCUACUGAAACUGAAAGUUGAAACAACCUUAAAUCAUGUUGCCAACAGUAAAAACAUAGGAUAAACUGUAAUUGAAACCAGCUUUAAUCAUGUUGCCAACAGUAAAAUCAUAAAAGAAAUCAUAUUAAACAGAUUUAAAACUUGUUACACAACAGUGAACACUAAAUUUGAACAACUGUGAAACGUGCAUGACACUAAAUUUACUUCAGGCUUUCCUAAAAGAGUUCAUAGAUAAAAUUAGCAAGUUAAUUUUCUGAAAACAAGCAUUCAGAUUUAAAGUUUAUAAAUAAUGUUUUAUAAGUUUUGAUAAAGCAUUCUGUUAGCGAAGCUCUUCUUAGAAGGUACUAAAAACACAAAAGGCAAACCAUCAAAGAUAGAACAAGCCAGAAUAACAUAAUAUUCUACAUUACCUUAUCUCACUUCAAGCUAAAUCUCAAAGACAAAAAACACAAUCAAAGGCCAAAAAUUGACCUUGAACAUGCCAAAUACUGCUUCAGUCCAACUUGUUCUAAGGAACUUCCGGUAGCUAAAAACUACCAACUAGUGUAGUGUUGGAUAAGAAAAACAGCAACUGCUUUAAUGGACUCCUCUAGAAUGUAUUGGUAUUGUGAAUAUUGAGAUAAAUCAAUCUUUUAGUCUGUGAUGGUGUUUACCACUGACCGUUUUUCCUGAUUGCAAUAUAUCUCUAAUUACAAUAUUUCAGGGCUAAUAACUCAUUAUAAUUAAGUAUUAUAUAUUUUAAUUUCCAAUGCCCACAUGCUGUAGAAAUUAAGAUUAGUUAGGUUGUCCAUUUAUUUUGUGUAUGGCUUAGUAUUAUAAAAAACUAAAUAAAGUAUGACUUAGUCUUCCUCUUCUCUCAUUAGCAUAGUAAUAAUAUUAUUUGUCCGUUUCAAUCAACCAAAUUAAAAUAUUUAAAAACACUAGUAGAGAGAUAAUAGAACAAUUUGUUGGAUCAAUGAUAGAACAAUUUGUUGGAUCAAUGAUAGAACAAUUUGCAACAAUAUCUUCAUUUAAACAACAAGUGGAAGGUUUAUCAGACCUAGACCACUGGGUUGAAUUAUUGAUUCGUUUACUGUGUGCUGUCCCUCGCUGGAGUGAGAAAAAUGUCCAGGUAUUUAAAGGGUUCAUUGCUGCAGAUAUCUAUCUUUUUUACCUUUGUGGAUAUUUUUUGUUGUGAAGAUAGUUAUUUGAAUUGUCCACACACCUCAAUUUCCUUUUAAAUAUUUAGUUGAACUGCUCCCAAACAUUGAUUUUUUUUUUAUAAUUAAUUUGUAACUCCCUCCCACCCCUUUUCUUUUGUAGAUAUUAAAGGGUUUCUUUCUGAUGUUAAACAUGGACUUCUUAGUGCACUGGAUACAGAGUAUGAGAAGAAUCCAUUUGAGGGUGCAGCAGCAGCUCCAAAGAGAACUAUUAAAUUAGCAGAACCUACAUCUGCAUCUUCUGGUGGACUAGAUGGCCUGCCACAGGAAGAUAUUAGUGGGAAGAUUACACCUACCCUGCUUAAAGGCUUAGAAAGUACUGAUUGGAAGGCUCGCUUGGAGUCAAUUGAAGCUGUGAAUAAAGUUUUGGAAGAGGCUAACAAGCGCUUCCAACCCAAUGGAACUGACCUCUGUUUCUGUCUCCUUUUGGUCUUAAAGCAGUGAGUUGGCAUGUUGUAUUGGCUUCUUCUACUGUAUAUACUACUGGUAUAUUGAGAUUAUUUCUUUGGAGCAAUUCUUGACAACAUUUGUAGUUGAGGCCUUUAGAAUGGAAGAAUGUAUUUCAUUAAUUUUUGUAUACAUUUCUUGUUUUGUAUUUAGUGAUAAAGGAAUCUGAAUUGGGCAUAAAUUAUGUUCUUAAGCCUAGACUAGUAUACUAAAUAUUGUAAUUACAUUUGAGUAAUUAAUAAAAAUCAAUUUAUGUUACCUUA
Humulus lupulus (European hop) is the source of this 3894-nucleotide long non-coding RNA. RefSeq lists it as uncharacterized. The record is from RefSeq and is a predicted model, not a curated record. The transcript is spliced from 13 exons. NCBI's taxonomy places the organism in Eukaryota, Viridiplantae, Streptophyta, Magnoliopsida, Rosales, Cannabaceae.